GAUGAACGCUGGCGGCGUGCUUAACACAUGCAAGUCGAACGAAACACCUUAUUUGAUUUUCUUCGGAACUGAAGAUUUGGUGAUUGAGUGGCGGACGGGUGAGUAACGCGUGGGUAACCUGCCCUGUACAGGGGGAUAACAGACAGAAAUGACUGCUAAUACCGCAUAAGACCACAUCACCGCAUGGUGCAGGGGUAAAAACUCCGGUGGUACACGAUGGACCCGCGUCUGAUUCGCUGGUUGGUGAGGUAACGGCACACCAAGGCGACGAUCAGUAGCCGGCAUGAGAGACAGCAUGGACAGAUUGGGACUGAGACACGGCCCAAAAUCCCACGGGAGGCAGCAGUGGGGAAUAUUGCACAGUGGGGGAAACCCUGAUGCAGCGAGGACGCGUGAGUGAAGCAGUAUUUGGGUAUGUAAAGCUCUAUCAGCAGGGAAGAAAAUGAAGGUACCUGACAAAGAAGCCACGGCUAACUACGUG
This 481-nucleotide ribosomal RNA is filed under the name uncultured bacterium. Its description in RNAcentral is "partial 16S ribosomal RNA". It matches the Rfam family "Bacterial small subunit ribosomal RNA", at positions 28 to 507 of the family's 1533-position model. The record is from RNAcentral.